Molecule: transfer RNA, 77 nt
Filed under: Candidatus Magasanikiibacteriota bacterium
Lineage: Bacteria; Candidatus Magasanikiibacteriota
Description: Candidatus Magasanikbacteria bacterium tRNA-Cys
Rfam family: tRNA
About the family: Transfer RNA (tRNA) molecules are approximately 80 nucleotides in length. Their secondary structure includes four short double-helical elements and three loops (D, anti-codon, and T loops). Further hydrogen bonds mediate the characteristic L-shaped molecular structure. tRNAs have two regions of fundamental functional importance: the anti-codon, which is responsible for specific mRNA codon recognition, and the 3' end, to which the tRNAs corresponding amino acid is attached (by aminoacyl-tRNA synthetases). tRNAs cope with the degeneracy of the genetic code in two manners: having more than one tRNA (with a specific anti-codon) for a particular amino acid; and 'wobble' base-pairing, i.e. permitting non-standard base-pairing at the 3rd anti-codon position.
Source: RNAcentral
GGUCGCAUGGUGAAGUAGCUUAACACAGCGGUCUGCAAAACCGCCAUUCGUGGGUGCGAAUCCCACUGCGACCUCAA